Molecule: small nuclear RNA, 108 nt
Organism: Balaenoptera musculus (blue whale)
Lineage: Eukaryota; Metazoa; Chordata; Mammalia; Artiodactyla; Balaenopteridae
Source: Ensembl
GGUGCUCUUUUCUGCCACCCAUAUACUAAAAUUGGAACAAUACAGAGAAGAUUAGCAAGGUCCCUGUGCAAGGUUGACACACAAAUUCGUGAAGUGUUCCAUAUUUUU